UUCAUUUAUAAAUUGCUUGGUUUUUAGUCACUGUCCCGACGUAAUGUCGGGACGGGAAGGCUUACUACAAAACGGGAACGCUGUGAAAUUCAGCGACAGUGCCGCUGCGGUAAUUUCAGAGUUCAAUCUGAAUGAGUCCGAAGACCGACCAAGCAACUAAGUGAUCA
Molecule: non-coding RNA, 167 nt
Filed under: Candidatus Roizmaniibacteriota
Lineage: Bacteria
Source: RNAcentral